GUCUACGGCCAUACCACCCUGAACGCGCCCGAUCUUGUCUGAUCUCGGAAGCUAAGCAGGGUCGGGCCUGGUUAGUACUUGGAUGGGAAAAAAAUGUGUAUUUUGUGGUUUUUGGGU
This 117-nucleotide ribosomal RNA is filed under the name Neogale vison (American mink). The record is from RNAcentral. Lineage: Eukaryota; Metazoa; Chordata; Mammalia; Carnivora; Mustelidae.